Molecule: long non-coding RNA, 2203 nt
Organism: Homo sapiens (human)
Lineage: Eukaryota; Metazoa; Chordata; Mammalia; Primates; Hominidae
Product: long intergenic non-protein coding RNA 2551
Source: Ensembl
GCACGGCUGAGAAUGCAGUCCUGGGCAUAUUCCACAUCCACAGUUCUCAGUGGACACAGGGUCUGAUGCCCGAGGCUCCAAGCCGUGCUCCAGGAAGUGUAUUUCAAGUUGAGCUCACGUUCCCAAGAUGCUGAGAUUCUUAUGUAGCUGACACCGGAGCUGAGGCUGAGCCCCAGCCAGGGAUAUCCAACGAUUGCCAGUAACACCACGGAACUGAGUGAAGAUUCAGGGGCUGAGUGUGUUCCUGAGUGCUUCAAACCGGGGGACCUGGAAACCAGAGGACUCCUGGGGAAAGGCUGUCAACUCCAGCCUGCUCUUCCUAAAUGGCCUUGUUAGUAGUGACUUCAGCCCUGGCGGUGAGGCAUGUGGGUCAGAAUAACAUUCCCUUUCUUUUCCCUUCACCUCUUUUUUCUCCACGGUUCCUUUUCAUAACUUCUUUAUUUGCUGCCUAGAGGAGCUUUCUGGACAUUUUGUCUCCAGGGAGCGUGACAUGUCACCUGUUUCUCACCUCAUAUGCCUCUGAUCUUCUACACCAAGGUAGCUAUAAAGGCUUGCUUUCUAGGCUGGGUUUCCCUGCACAGGCCCACUGAACCACUCAAACCUCAGAGGUGGAAGUGCCCAGCGGGCCUCAUGGUCAGCUGGGGAUAACGGAGUCAUUUUCGCAGCCCAACUUCUGAAAUUCCACAAGAGGGCGCCCAAGGUCUCCCAAGUCCGGCCACGCCCGGUGGCCUUGAGGCCGGAAGGUGGCGCUGUUGCUUUAGCCAUCAAGAAAGGCAAGGCUGGGGACGCCGCAUCCCCGGGUGCGGAGGGCGAUGCCUAGGGGCGAUGCUGUGCCUGUGGCGGCCAAACAGUGCCACCCACUCCGGGAAACAAAGCCAAGCGCCGGACGCUAGCUUCCUAGGUCUUCCACGUGUUCAACGGAAAUUCACAAAUUCUCUAGUAGCAGAAGCCAAGAACAAGUUCUCUGGAUCACAUAGGCUCCUCUGCUGCUUCCUCAGAAACAGAGAUGGUACUUGGUGCCGAAGAAAGAGACAGAGACUGGGAAGGAGAAGGAAGUCAGCAGAAAGAAGAAAGACGCACAGGAAAGAGAGAAGGGUAGCUAAAAGAAAGAGUCAGGGAGAUGGUUCCAGGAGAAGAAAAGAAAGUCAGUUGCUUUCUGAGAUCAGGUGGGAAGUUUAUCCUGUCAACUCCACCUUUAGAGUGCUAGUCUCUGGAGCCACAAGGACUGAAACUCUGCUUCAGAGACCCACCACUGAUGACAACCAUCAGGCUCAGGAACUGAAAAGAAAUGGUGCAAAUGUGGCCGAGGGACUUGGGUUUUACAUUUAUUGCCGAGUCUGGUUUUCUUGAGUUUCAGAUGAUAAAAUUGAAGCCCAGAGAAGCUUGGGAGCCUCAACUAUUAAUGGAAAAACCAUAACUAGAACUGAGUUUUCCUGAGACAUUUUUUACUAUUCAUUCCCCUGCUCUUGGGCCACUCCAGGGCACUGAGCACACUUGCUUUGGCUAUUUGGAGAAGAGGCCAAUAGACACAACUGGCUUCAUCUUCAGGGACACCCAAUAUCUGGCAGCCCUCAGCCCCAGCGGAGUCUUUAUUGAAAGAACUGAUUCAUAGACCAGGCGCGGUGGCUCACGCCUAUAAUCCCAACACUUUGGGAAGCUGAGGUGGGCGGAUCUCAGUCAGGAGAUCGAGACCAUCCUGGCUAACACGGUGAAACCCCAUCUCUACUAAAAAUACAAAAAUAAAAAAAAAAAAUAGCUGGGUGUGGUGGCAGGCGCCUGUAGUCCCAGCACUUUGGGAGGCCGAGGUGGGCAGAUCACAAGGUCAGGAGUUCAAGACCAGCCUGACCAACAUGGUGAAACCCCAUCUCUACUAAAAAAAUACAAAAAUUAGCUGGGUGUGGUGGUGCGCACCUGUAAUCCCAGCCACUCAGAAGGCUGAGGCAGGAGAAUUGCUUGAACCUAGGAGGGGAAGGUUGCAGUGAGCCGAGAUUGCGCCACUGCACUCCAGCCUGGUUGACAGAGCAAGACUCUGUCUCAAGAAAAAAAAAAAGAAAAAGAAAAAAAAAGAAAGAAAGAACUGAUUUAUGAAAAGAUUCUUAUCAUGAUUUUCAUUUUACUAGUCCAAAGAUCACUGAGUUAAACUGCCUAUUUUAGUAGAUGAACAAAAGUGCCUUGAAUAAAGACGUAAUUCAAUAAAAACUUA